GAUGAACGCUGGCGGCGUGCCUAAUACAUGCAAGUCGAGCGAACAGACGAGGAGCUUGCUCCUUUGACGUUAGCGGCGGACGGGUGAGUAACACGUAGGUAACCUACCUAUAAGACUGGGAUAACUUCGGGAAACCGGAGCUAAUACCGGAUAAUAUUUCGAACCGCAUGGUUCGAUAGUGAAAGAUGGCUUUGCUAUCACUUAUAGAUGGACCUGCGCCGUAUUAGCUAGUUGGUAAGGUAACGGCUUACCAAGGCAACGAUGCGUAGCCGACCUGAGAGGGUGAUCGGCCACACUGGAACUGAGACACGGUCCAGACUCCUACGGGAGGCAGCAGUAGGGAAUCUUCCGCAAUGGGCGAAAGCCUGACGGAGCAACGCCGCGUGAGUGAUGAAGGUCUUCGGAUCGUAAAACUCUGUUAUUAGGGAAGAACAAACGUGUAAGUAACUAUGCACGUCUUGACGGUACCUAAUCAGAAAGCCACGGCUAACUACGUG
RNAcentral lists this ribosomal RNA (497 nucleotides) under uncultured bacterium. RNAcentral's name for it is "partial 16S ribosomal RNA". It matches the Rfam family "Bacterial small subunit ribosomal RNA", at positions 28 to 507 of the family's 1533-position model. The record is from RNAcentral.